CCUACGGGGGGCUGCAGUAAGGAAUAUUGGUCAAUGGACGCAAGUCUGAACCAGCCAUGCCGCGUGGAGGAUGAAGGUCCUCUGGAUUGUAAACUUCUUUUAUCUGGGACGAAACACUCCUAUUCUUAGGGGCCUGACGGUACCAGAUGAAUAAGCACCGGCUAACUCCGUGCCAGCAGCCGCGUUAAUACGGAGGGUGCAAGCGUUAUCCGGAUUCAAGGGGGCGAAGGUGGGUGUAUAUGGGUGUAUUGAAAUCCCCGAGCUUAACUUGGGAACUGCCGUUGAUACUAUACAUCUUGAAUAUCGUAGAGGUAAGCGGAAUAUGUCAUGUAGCGGUGAAAUGCUUAGAGAUGACAUAGAACACCAAUUGCGAAGGCAGCUUGCUAUGCGAUUAUUGACACUGAGGCACGAAAGCGUGGGUAGCAAACAGGAUUAGAUACCCCUGUAGUC
This 450-nucleotide ribosomal RNA is filed under the name uncultured bacterium. RNAcentral describes it as "partial 16S ribosomal RNA". It matches the Rfam family "Bacterial small subunit ribosomal RNA", at positions 338 to 795 of the family's 1533-position model. The record is from RNAcentral.